GUCUUUUUGUUAAAAAUUUAAAGUCGGGCCUGCCCCCUGAAAUUUUAAAUGGCCGUGGUAUUUUGACCGUGCUAAGGUAGCAUAAUCAUUAGUUUUUUAAUUGAAAGCUGGAAUGAAGGGUUUGAUAAAAAAAUAACUGUCUCUAUUUAAUUUUAUUAAAAUUUUAUUUUUAAGUUCAAAAGCUUAAAUUAAAUUAAAAGACGAGAAGACCCUAUAGAGUUUAAUAAUAUAAAAUAAUUUUUAUUUUUGAAUUAAAUUAUUUAUUUUUUUUAUAUUAUUUAGUUGGGGUGAUUGAAAAAUUUAAUUAACUUUUUUUAUAUUUUACCAUUAAUUUAUGAUUGUUUGAUCCAAUUUUUUUGAUUAUAAGAUAAAAUUACCUUAGGGAUAACAGCGUAAUUUUUUUAAAAAGUUCAAAUUUAAAAAAAAGAUUGCGACCUCGAUGUUGGAUUAAAAUUAAAUUUUGGUGUAGAAGCUAAAAAUUUAAGUCUGUUCGACUUUUAAAAUUUUACA
RNAcentral lists this ribosomal RNA (510 nucleotides) under Calligrapha pantherina. RNAcentral's name for it is "partial 16S ribosomal RNA". The stretch from base 384 to 510 matches the Rfam family "Archaeal large subunit ribosomal RNA", at positions 2542 to 2669 of the family's 2987-position model. The record is from RNAcentral. Lineage: Eukaryota; Metazoa; Arthropoda; Insecta; Coleoptera; Chrysomelidae.